Molecule: non-coding RNA, 1291 nt
Organism: Manis javanica (Malayan pangolin)
Lineage: Eukaryota; Metazoa; Chordata; Mammalia; Pholidota; Manidae
Source: RefSeq, a predicted model, not a curated record
GCAGAGGAGGCGGCCGGACUGCCUGCUGACCACGCCAUCCCGAUGGGCUGGGGCUCCCAGGCCCUCGCUGCCUGCUGGCUGUCCAGGCCGCAAACAAGAACUUCCAGGUGUGCACUGCCCACCUGUGUGCUCCCAGCUGCCGCAGGCCUCCCGGUUCCAGACGCGGUUUCCAAAGCAGCCUCACCCCCUGCCCCUUUCCUUCUGCAAUGGCUCUUCCGCCCUUCAAGGGCACGUUCUCCCGACUCUGCGAACCUAAGCACUUUUUUCCCACUAGAUCAAGGGUACUUGCUGCUGACUCAGUUUUACAGAAAACUCUUUAUCUGUGAAAUGACUCAUUUUGAUGUCACCGGCAAAGUAGAGUGAGAUACGGGGAAAAGUCUGGUCCAAAGUUCCUUAAAGAUUCUUUGUUUUAAAGAUAACUCCAAGACUCUGCCUGUAAUUUUGUGGCUGUUUCUGAGUAUAGCAGAGGAAAAGGGCUACUACUUGCUCAUCACCAGUAAAGGUGGGCCCCUUCCGUAGCGCCGGCACUCUGUCCUCACCACCAGCCUGACAGCUCAGUAGCCUGCCCCACGCCAGCCCGACGGGUGCCUGUUUCACAGCACGUUAGGGCUCCGAGAGAGACCCUGCAGCUGCCCGAGCUGCACCUGAGAGACACAGCCCGGAGCACCACCUGCAGCAUCCACGGCUGACACGGCUGGGACCACCUUCCCCUCGGACUGCAGAGCCCCGGGGAUUGACGGUCCCGUGGAUUCCCGGCCCAGUGACUUCUGAGAAUGGCAGCCAGUUCUGACUGGGAAGCAGGGUCAGCAGCAGCAGCAGGGGCCGGGACUGCGCACGCACCCUGAGCCAGAGGCCCACCGGCAGGCCACCUGUCUCCUGUACAUCUCCAUCAAGGGCAUCCUUGCUCGGACACUGCGGGGCGAUGACCCCCCAGAUGCUUGGCUCCUCCGUGGUGAGCGGCUACAGGGGAGGCAGGGAGACGGGGAGCAGCCUCGGGGCAGGUCCGAGCAGUGAGACCCUCCUCCCUCCCUAAGGUGCCAAAGGCCCAGACUGCUGCCCCCUCUCUGCCUGCAGCCUCAGGAAUGCCUCCACGGGCUCCCGGCCUCCCGGCCCAGCGUGAGGCUGUGUGGCACCGCCAGAGUGUCAGACAAGGGGUUCCCCGGCAGGCGCGUGCCAACACCCGGGGCCAGGCCCUGGGGGUAGCUGUCUGCCAGCUGAGCAGGAGCUCAGUGAAUCUUCACUGACUGACAGAAUGGAAACGAGAGUGAUAGAAAACAGAAUAAAUCUAGUA